RNAcentral lists this long non-coding RNA (950 nucleotides) under Felis catus (domestic cat). RNAcentral describes it as "lncRNA (ENSFCAG00000047906.1)". The record is from RNAcentral. Lineage: Eukaryota; Metazoa; Chordata; Mammalia; Carnivora; Felidae.
AUUGGCCACUGGAACCCGGUCAUAUUCGUGUUUUACAUCUGAGCCAUAAAAACCAGCAAAUUACCUGUUGGGUUGUUUUAGCAAGGAUUCUUGCUUGCUGAUGACAUUUCCCCUGGUGAUAUGCACCAAUUGGAAUUCUCCAGGGUGAUUGCUAUUAUCACAUCAUCAGUAGUUUAUCUUGGGAGCAUUGGGGCUUUGCUGUUUGAAUAACCAAGCCCGGGAGCCUGUGCCAUGGGGGGAAAUGUUUAGUCUGAUGAAGAGAACCCCGUGAGUCCAGCAUCUUCUCGAGACCACGGCUUCUGGCCAGAGCUUAUUUAAGAAAGCAGAAGUAAAAAGGUACAAGAGGAACAUUUGCUUGUUUAAUUGGCCAUAGAUUUUCCUGGCAAUAAUUUGCAGCAAGAUAAGGGACCUCGUCAAGGUCAUGUGUCUGGGCACGGCUGGGUGAGGAAAAGGACUAAGGAAAAUCUGGGUGGUUGCCUUUUUAAAUGAGUUUGCUGAUUUUCCUAGGACUCAUCCAUCAGCUGAUGAAUGUCUACCAUUUAACUAAGAGUUCCUGCCCAACUGGCCUAGCUCUCAGCCUGGACCAGUGGUGUCUGGGUGAAGGCAAAGACGGAGGACCUGUCCUGCGGUCACGAGUACCAAAGGCAUUGGAUCUACACCCCCAAGGCCAGGAAUCUGCCCCAAGGGCCUCUCAGGAAGGAGCUGUGUCCAGAGGGUAGUAUAGCCACUGUUGCGGUGGUGGCGGGGAGGGGACCAGAAGAAUUUUCAGAAGACUGACCCAGUACAGCAGAGCCAGGAGAACCAGAAAGAAGUGGUCUCAGGGACCUGAGGACAAUGGGGACCCCUGGAACAAACCAUGCCUGAAGCUGGCAAGACUCUCUUUGAACUUUUUAAUAAUUGGUUCAUUCAAUGAUGUUACCUUAGACCAAGCUAAGUGCUCUAUCAUUUAC